Molecule: ribosomal RNA, 498 nt
Filed under: uncultured bacterium
Lineage: Bacteria
Description: bacterial SSU rRNA
Rfam family: Bacterial small subunit ribosomal RNA
Source: RNAcentral
GGCGUGCCUAAUACAUGCAAGUCGAGCGGUAACAGGGCCUCACCGUUCCUUGACACACUUGGCCAGAGUGCAAGUGGUGAGACUUCAGGGAACAGUGAAGCUGCUGACGAGCGGCGGACGGCUGAGUAACGCGUGGGAACGGACCCCAAAGUGAGGGAUAACGCAUCGAAAGGUGUGCUAAUACCGCAUGUGAUCUUCGGAUUAAAGCUUUUGCGCUUUGGGACUGGCCUGCGUACGAUUAGAUAGUUGGUGAGGUAAUGGCUCACCAAGUCGACGAUCGUUAGAUGGUUUGAGAAGAUGAUCAUCCAGACUGGGACUGAGACACGGCCCAGACUCCUACGGGAGGCAGCAGUAGGGAAUCUUUCACAAUGGGCGAAAGCCUGAUGGAGCAACGCCGCGUGCAGGAUGACGGCCUUCGGGUUGUAAACUGCUUUUAUAAGCGAGAAAUAUGAUGGUAACUUAUGAAUAAGGACCGGCUAACUACGUGCCAGCCGCCGC